This is a long non-coding RNA of Jaculus jaculus (lesser Egyptian jerboa), 1503 nucleotides long. RefSeq lists it as uncharacterized. The transcript is spliced from 3 exons. Lineage: Eukaryota; Metazoa; Chordata; Mammalia; Rodentia; Dipodidae. The record is from RefSeq and is a predicted model, not a curated record.
CCAGCUAUACAUGGCCAGAACUUCCCAAAUAGUCUAAGCUAAGGAGAAAAGUCAUCGAGAAGGUAGAGGAAAUAAAAGAUCGGGAGCAAGGCUGUUUGGAGAUAGCGAGGCUCAUCCAGUUACAUCGCUCCCUGCCUCUCAGCAGACGACAGACAAGGGUGCCUUCUUCUGGGAAGAAGCGGUGCCGGAUUGCUUCCCCUGUCUUUUAGGCUCAGCAUGCCGGAGCUGGAAGGAAGCUUCUAGAACAGCAACUUUGCUCUCCUCUUUGGCUGAGGAGGCGGGGGCCUGUGUGAACAGCUCACAGGGCAAACCAGGCCUCCUUCUCUUCCCCACUCAAGUCUGUCAAUCGGCUUCCACUUGUGACUCACAUCUCUGAGCUGCUUCCCAUAAACCGAGGACUGGAACGGAAGGGCUUGCCUUGUUUUGUUUUGUUUUGCUCCAUCGAAGAACACAUUUUGAAGACGUGGAGGCCAGGGCUGAGAUGACUCUUAGUAGACAAUCACCUUAUAUUCAAAAUGACACUAUGAGGAGACUAGCUGUUCCACUUUAUAAAUUCUGAAGUUCCAGCUGGGAGGCCAUGUGUGGAGAUGAUUUGCUUGGCCUGUUCAGCAUCUGCCUCCCUGGUGGCUCUACGACUCUUUACUUCACUCGGCAACUAUUCAUCACAUGUCCACCACAUGCCUGGCACUGAUCUGCAGGCUUGGGUUUCACUGGGGAGAGUAAUGGUGUCUUCCUCUGGCUGCUGGUACAUCACAGGAAGCCCUGCGAAAUGCUCGAGGCAGCGCCUGUCACUCAGCCAGUAUGCAGGCUUCUGCUGCCCUGUAGCUGCUCCUGCGGUUGCAGCUCUGUUUGGUUGCCAUGGUGCUGUGCUGGGACAGUGUCUGCAGGGUGUGGUGAUGGGAGUCAUUUGUUCCCUUGUCUGGUGCUCCUAGGGGUGAACAGGUGCUGCAAUCAGGAGAAGGAAUGGCCGGCUGCCCUAGGGUUGGCAGCAGAGGUCAGGGCCACUCUAACUGGUCUUGAGGUGCCUUUGCUAACCUUUAUGUGGGUGUGCUUUGGGCCCUUUUGGUUCUUGGACUUGGCUGUGCAUGCAGUAUGGGUGAGAAGGCCCCUGCUACAUUCUCCUGAUUGCAGUAAUUAGGGCAUAGGUUCUGGCUUGAGCUGGCUGUGUGAUCAGCCUUGGAUCUCAGAGUCUUCAAGUCCACAUUAGUAGAGUAGAGGUAAUGUUGCUCCCUUCUGGAGGAUUCUGGGAGGGCCAGAGGAAACUGAAAGAUGGAGGACUACACAAUAGAUGUCACAGUAUUUAUUUCCAUCUUCCAGCUCACUGAACGGCUCUAAUCUGCUAAGCAUGUCUGAUCAUGCCAACUAUUUUAGUUCGUUUUGAGUGCUAUAGCAAAAUACCAGAAAAUAGGUAGCUUAUAAAAACAGAGAUUGAUUUCCUAAUGUGGUGGUUUAAAUUAGGUAUCCACAAUAAACUCAUUUGUUCUAAAUGCUAGUUUCCCAGCU